Molecule: ribosomal RNA, 446 nt
Filed under: uncultured soil bacterium
Lineage: Bacteria
Description: bacterial SSU rRNA
Rfam family: Bacterial small subunit ribosomal RNA
Source: RNAcentral
AGAGCGAACGCUGGCGGCAGGCCUAACACAUGCAAGUCGAACGGACUCUUCGGAGUUAGUGGCGGACGGGUGAGUAACACGUGGGAACGUGCCUUUAGGUUCGGAAUAGCUCCUGGAAACGGGUGGUAAUACCGAAUGUGCCCUUCGGGGGAAAGAUUUAUCGCCAUUGGAGCGGCCCGCGUUGGAUUAGGUAGUUGGUGAGGUAAAGGCUCACCAAGCCUACGAUCCAUAGCUGGUCUGAGAGGAUGAUCAGCCACACUGGGACUGAGACACGGCCCAGACUCCUACGGGAGGCAGCAGUAGGGAAUCUUGCGCAAUGGGCGAAAGCCUGACGCAGCCAUGCCGCUGAAUGAUGAAGGUCUUAGGAUUGUAAAAUUCUUUCACCGGGACGAUAAUGACGGUACCGAGAAGAAGCCCCGGCUAACUUCGUACGCCGAGCAGCCGAC